AGUAAAUAUGUAUUCUCUGGAAUAUACGUUUCAAACCCAUCUGUGUAUCUUACCUGUUGCUUCCGUACCGCGUGGACUUCGGUCCCCUCAUGCUGUACUUCGGUACGGUUCCAGAGUGCCGGUGCGGAAGGUAUACAUCAAACUCUUGCAUUCCAUGUCUUCUGUCUGAACUGUUAAUAACAAAAGUUUAAAACUUUCAACAACGGAUCUCUUGGUUCU
This 219-nucleotide unclassified non-coding RNA is filed under the name rhizosphere metagenome. Its description in RNAcentral is "partial ribosomal RNA internal transcribed spacer region". The record is from RNAcentral.